This 845-nucleotide ribosomal RNA is filed under the name uncultured bacterium. RNAcentral's name for it is "bacterial SSU rRNA". It matches the Rfam family "Bacterial small subunit ribosomal RNA", at positions 21 to 907 of the family's 1533-position model. The record is from RNAcentral.
GGCUCAGGAUGAACGCUGGCGGUAUGCUUAACACAUGCAAGUCGAACGGAAGUCUUCGGACUUUAGUGGCGGACGGGUGAGUAACGCGUGAGAAUCUACCUUCAGGAUGGGGACAACAUUAGGAAACUGAUGUUAAUACCCAAUAUGCCGAGAGGUGAAAGGCUUGCUGCCUGAAGAAGAGCUCGCGUCUGAUUAGUUAGUUGGUGGGGUAAUGGCCUACCAAGGCGGCGAUCAGUAGCUGGUCUGAGAGGAUGAUCAGCCACACUGGGACUGAGACACGGCCCAGACUCCUACGGGAGGCAGCAGUGGGGAAUUUUCCGCAAUGGGCGAAAGCCUGACGGAGCAAUACCGCGUGAGGGAGGAAGGCUUUUGGGUUGUAAACCUCUUUUAUUCGGGAAGAAGAACUGACGGUACCGAAUGAAUCAGCAUCGGCUAACUCCGUGCCAGCAGCCGCGGUAAUACGGAGGAUGCAAGCGUUAUCCGGAUUUAUUGGGCGUAAAGCGUCCGCAGGUGGUUUAUCAAGUCUGCUGUCAAAGCGCGGAGCUUAACUCCGUAAGGGCGGUGGAAACUGGUAGACUAGAGUCUGGUAGGGGUCACGGGAAUUCCCAGUGUAGCGGUGAAAUGCGUAGAUAUUGGGAAGAACACCGGCGGCGAAAGCGCGUGACUGGACCGGAACUGACACUGAGGGACGAAAGCUAGGGGAGCGAAAGGGAUUAGAUACCCCUGUAGUCCUAGCCGUAAACGAUGGAAACUAGGUGUUGCCCGUAUCGACCCGGGCAGUGCCGUAGCUAACGCGUUAAGUUUCCCGCCUGGGGAGUACGCACGCAAGUGUGAAAACUCAAUGA